AGAUCGGGGAAUAACAAAUGUUUCUAAGAUUCUAAAAAAGAAAAAUUAGGGGAAGGAAGGAACAAAAUUGAAGGUUUGGAUGAAACGAAGAAAGGGGAAAAUUCAAGUUAAAUUGAAAAUUAGAAAUUAGAGGAUGAUUAGCAGCAGCCAGAUUAAUUUUGUCAUGUAGAUAAGAUCAUGAAGCUUUGAAUUGGUCUUCUUAAUCUAAUUUUAGGAUGUUUAAAUUGAAAUUGAAACGAAGAAUUUGAAAGGCUCUUGACGAUCAUUCUCCUCUGUCUUCGCUGAUUUUCUCUCCGUGUUUUUACAGACCAUCCAAGGCAGGUUACAACGAAUCCGCCAUAGCCAUGGAGAAUCAGAGCAGCGCCUGUCUGUCCUACGAGAAGCUUAACGGCGUCGCCACCUGGCUCGGCACCAGCGUCGCCUCCGCCUUCUUCGCCUCUCUCGAGCGCUGUUCCUGCAUCAAUCUCUCAACCUCCGACGACCAUGAAGAUCCCGAUGAGGCUCACGAUCGCCCUCUCAUGUACUGCACUUCCACUUCUUCCUCUGUCAUUCGCAGCUUCGAACCGCUUCCUCCGCCGGUCAAUGACGUUGCCAAUCUCCCCGUCUGAGCGUCGUUCUCCAUGGAUCUGAGAGCAGGAACAUGGGCACACACAGCUUGGUUACCAGAAAGCUUUCACAGAAAAGGCAGAAGACAGCAGAAGAAGAACAAGUAAACUGCAAAUAUGCACUUUUUAUUCACUAUUUAAAUAGCACAUUCAAUGUAGAAAGAAUAUUUGGAUAUCUCUUUUUCUCUUUUUGUGUUCAUCUUGUAAUCAGUUGGUUUCUUAACUGUAAACUCCUGCAAAGUAAAUGAAUAAUUUAUUUGUCUCAAA
Cucurbita pepo subsp. pepo (vegetable marrow) is the source of this 872-nucleotide non-coding RNA. Lineage: Eukaryota; Viridiplantae; Streptophyta; Magnoliopsida; Cucurbitales; Cucurbitaceae. The record is from RefSeq and is a predicted model, not a curated record.